RNAcentral lists this ribosomal RNA (406 nucleotides) under uncultured bacterium. Its description in RNAcentral is "bacterial SSU rRNA". It matches the Rfam family "Bacterial small subunit ribosomal RNA", at positions 354 to 777 of the family's 1533-position model. The record is from RNAcentral.
GUCGGGAAUAUUGCGCAAUGGAGGAAACUCUGACGCAGUGACGCCGCGUAUAGGAAGAAGGUUUUCGGAUUGUAAACUAUUGUCGUGAGGGAAGAAGAUGACAGUACCUCAGGAGGAAGCUCCGGCUAACUAUGUGCCAGCAGCCGCGGUAAUACAUAGGGAGCAAGCGUUAUCCGGAAUUAUUGGGUGUAAAGGGUGCGUAGACGGGAAAUUAAGUUAGUUGUGAAAUCCCUUGGCUUAACUGAGGAACUGCAACUAAAACUGGUUUUCUUGAGUACUGGAGAGGAAAGUGGAAUUCCUAGUGUAGCGGUGAAAUGCGUAGAUAUUAGGAGGAACACCAGUGGCGAAGGCGACUUUCUGGACAGUAACUGACGUUGAGGCACGAAAGUGUGGGGAGCAAACAGGA